RNAcentral lists this ribosomal RNA (253 nucleotides) under uncultured bacterium. RNAcentral's name for it is "partial 16S ribosomal RNA". It matches the Rfam family "Bacterial small subunit ribosomal RNA", at positions 524 to 776 of the family's 1533-position model. The record is from RNAcentral.
UACAGAGGGUGCGAGCGUUAAUCGGAAUUACUGGGCGUAAAGCGUGCGUAGACGGUUAUUUAAGUCGGAUGUGAAAGCCCCGGGCUCAACCUGGGAAUUGCAUUCGAGACUGAAUAGCUAGGGUGCGGUAGAGGGAAGCGGAAUUUACGGUGUAGCAGUGAAAUGCGUAGAUAUCGUAAGGAAGACCAGUGGCGAAGGCGAGUCUCUGGACAGUUACUGACGCUGAGGCACGAAGGCCAGGGGAGCAAACGGG